GCGCAGGUGGUGGAAUAGGUAGACACGCUGUCUUGAGGGGGCAGUGGGAGAAGUCCCGUAAGAGUUCAAAUCUCUUCCUGCGCACCA
RNAcentral lists this transfer RNA (87 nucleotides) under Chloroflexota bacterium. Its description in RNAcentral is "tRNA-Leu". It matches the Rfam family "tRNA". From Rfam's summary of the family: Transfer RNA (tRNA) molecules are approximately 80 nucleotides in length. The record is from RNAcentral. Lineage: Bacteria; Bacillati; Chloroflexota.